Molecule: ribosomal RNA, 469 nt
Filed under: uncultured bacterium
Lineage: Bacteria
Description: partial 16S ribosomal RNA
Rfam family: Bacterial small subunit ribosomal RNA
Source: RNAcentral
GACGAACGCUGGCGGCGUGCUUAACACAUGCAAGUCGAACGGUGAAGCGAGUGCUUGCACUCGUGGAUCAGUGGCGAACGGGUGAGUAACACGUGAGUAACCUGCCCAUCACUCUGGGAUAAGCACUGGAAACGGUGUCUAAUACUGGAUACGACCAACCCGUGCAUGGGGUGUUGGUGGAAAGAUUUAUCGGUGAUGGAUGGACUCGCGGCCUAUCAGCUUGUUGGCGGGGUAAUGGCCCACCAAGGCGACGACGGGUAGCCGGCCUGAGAGGGUGACCGGCCACACUGGGACUGAGACACGGCCCAGACUCCUACGGGAGGCAGCAGUGGGGAAUAUUGCACAAUGGGCGAAAGCCUGAUGCAGCGACGCCGCGUGAGGGAUGACGGCCUUCGGGUUGUAAACCUCUUUCAGCAGGGAAGAAGCGAAAGUGACGGUACCUGCAGAAGAAGCACCGGCUAACUACGUG